UAAUACGAAGGACCCGAGCGUUAUCCGGAUUUAUUGGGUUUAAAGGGUGCGUAGGCGUCCUGGAAAGUUACGGUUGAAAUCUCCUUGCUCAACAAGGAAACUGGCCGUAAAACUAUCAGGAUUGAGUACAUUUGAAGCGGGCGGAAUGUGUCAUGUAGCGGUGAAAUGCUUAGAUAUGACACAGAACACCAAUUGCGAAGGCAGCUCGCUAAACUGUAACUGACGCUGAGGCACGAAAGCGUGGGGAUCAAACAGGAUUAGAUACCCUGGUAGUCCACGCCCUAAACGAUGAUUACUCGAUGUGUGCGAUACACUGUACGCGUCUGAGCGAAAGCAUUAAGUAAUCCACCUGGGGAGUACGAUCGCAAGAUUG
This 373-nucleotide ribosomal RNA is filed under the name uncultured bacterium. RNAcentral's name for it is "bacterial SSU rRNA". It matches the Rfam family "Bacterial small subunit ribosomal RNA", at positions 521 to 896 of the family's 1533-position model. The record is from RNAcentral.